This 253-nucleotide ribosomal RNA is filed under the name uncultured bacterium. RNAcentral describes it as "partial 16S ribosomal RNA". It matches the Rfam family "Bacterial small subunit ribosomal RNA", at positions 524 to 776 of the family's 1533-position model. The record is from RNAcentral.
UACAGAGGAGCCAAGCGUUGUCCGGAUUGACUGGGCGUAAAGCGCACGCAGGCGGUUGCGCGCGUGGGGUGUGAAAUCUGGCCGCUUAACGGCCAGGCGCCAUCCCAUACGGCGCGACUGGAGUGAUGCAGAGGUCGAUGGAAUUGCCGGUGUAGCGGUGAAAUGCGCAGAUAUCGGGAGGAACACCUAUGGCGAAGGCAGCUCGCUGGGACGUUACUGACGCUGAGACGCGAAAGCGUGGGGAGCAAACAGG